Molecule: transfer RNA, 130 nt
Organism: Pochonia chlamydosporia 170
Lineage: Eukaryota; Fungi; Ascomycota; Sordariomycetes; Hypocreales; Clavicipitaceae
Rfam family: tRNA
About the family: Transfer RNA (tRNA) molecules are approximately 80 nucleotides in length. Their secondary structure includes four short double-helical elements and three loops (D, anti-codon, and T loops).
Source: Rfam
UCCUCCGUGGCGCAAUUGGCUAGCGCGUCUGACUGUUAAUCAGGAGGUAAGAUAUACCCGAAACAUGCAACAUGGGGAAUUAGAUGCUAACAAAUUGUCAAGGUUGAAAGUUCGAGCCUUUCCGGGGGAG